UGGGGAAUAUUGCACAAUGGGCGCAAGCCUGAUGCAGCGACGCCGCGUGGGGGAUGACGGCCUUCGGGUUGUAAACCUCUUUCAGCAGGGACGAAGCGAAAGUGACGGUACCUGCAGAAGAAGCACCGGCCAACUACGUGCCAGCAGCCGCGGUAAUACGUAGGGUGCGAGCGUUGUCCGGAAUUACUGGGCGUAAAGAGCUCGUAGGUGGUUUGUCGCGUUGUUCGUGAAAACCGGGGGCUUAACCCUCGGCGUGCGGGCGAUACGGGCAGACUAGAGUACUGCAGGGGAGACUGGAAUUCCUGGUGUAGCGGUGGAAUGCGCAGAUAUCAGGAGGAACACCGGUGGCGAAGGCGGGUCUCUGGGCAGUAACUGACGCUGAGGAGCGAAAGCGUGGGGAGCGAACAGGAUUAGAUACCCUGGUAGUCCACGCCGUAAACGGUGGGUACUAGGUGUGGGUUUCCUUCCUUGGGAUCCGUGCCGUAGCUAACGCAUUAAGUACCCCGCCUGGGGGAGUACGGCCGCAAGGCUAAAACUCAAAUGAAUUGACGGGGUCAUAGCUGUUU
Molecule: ribosomal RNA, 566 nt
Filed under: uncultured bacterium
Lineage: Bacteria
Description: partial 16S ribosomal RNA
Rfam family: Bacterial small subunit ribosomal RNA
Source: RNAcentral